This 208-nucleotide long non-coding RNA is filed under the name Lathyrus oleraceus (garden pea). RNAcentral's name for it is "Pisum sativum (pea) long non-coding RNA (PSAT_LNC011901)". Lineage: Eukaryota; Viridiplantae; Streptophyta; Magnoliopsida; Fabales; Fabaceae. The record is from RNAcentral.
UUGAUAUUCCUUCACCCUGUUCUCUUUGAGCAUAUCUCCUAGUAACCGGUGAUAUGUCUCCUGGAUCGUUACCUUUGUCAAUGUAUCCCCAGUGAGUCAUCUCUCAUUUACCCUUUAUUGGUAAUGAUUGUUUCUCCCCUUGGAUUAGUCAUCACUAUGUACCUAGUAUUCGGUAUCCCGAUGUCUUUUAUUUACGGUCGAUUUAUCC